Molecule: ribosomal RNA, 460 nt
Filed under: uncultured bacterium
Lineage: Bacteria
Description: partial 16S ribosomal RNA
Rfam family: Bacterial small subunit ribosomal RNA
Source: RNAcentral
CCUACGGGUGGCAGCAGUGAGGAAUAUUGGUCAAUGGGCGCGAGCCUGAACCAGCCAAGCCGCGUGAAGGAUGACUGCCCUACGGGUUGUAAACUUCUUUUGUCAAGGAAUAAAGUGAGGCACGUGUGCCUUUUUGUAUGUACUUUAUGAAUAAGGAUCGGCUAACUCCGUGCCAGCAGCCGCGGUAAUACGGAGGAUCCGAGCGUUAUCCGGAUUUAUUGGGUUUAAAGGGUGCGUAGGGGGGUUGUUAAGUCAGUUGUGAAAGUGUGCGGCUCAACCGUAGAAGUGCAAUUGAUACUGGCAGCCUUGAGUGCAGUGGAGGUAGGCGGAAUGCGUGGUGUAGCGGUGAAAUGCUUAGAUAUCACGAAGAACACCGAUUGCGAAGGCAGCCUACUAAGCUGCCACUGACAUUGAGGCACGAAAGUGUGGGUAUCAAACAGGAUUAGAUACCCGAGUAGUC